AACCAGCUCUUCAAGUGGUCGGGAUAAUUAUUGGGCUUAAAGUGUCCGUAGCCGGUUUAGUAAGUUCCUGGUAAAAUCGGGUAGCUUAACUAUCUAUAUGCUAGGAAUACUACUAUACUAGAGGGCGGGAGAGGUCUGAGGUACUACAGGGGUAGGGUGAAAUCUUAUAAUCCUUGUAGGACCACCAGUGGCGAAGGCGUCAGACUGGAACGCGCCUGACGGUGAGGGACGAAAGCCAGGGGAGCGAACCGGAUUAGAUACCCGGGUAGUCCUGGCCGUAAACGAUGCAUACUAGGUGAUGGCACGGCCAUGAGCCGUGUCAGUGCCGUAGGAAACCGUUAAGUGUGCCGCCUGGGAAGUACGGUCGCAAGGCUAAAACUUAAAGGAAUUGGCGGGGAGCACCACAAGGGGUGAAGCCUGCGGUUC
Molecule: ribosomal RNA, 426 nt
Filed under: uncultured archaeon
Lineage: Archaea
Description: bacterial SSU rRNA
Rfam family: Archaeal small subunit ribosomal RNA
Source: RNAcentral